RNAcentral lists this ribosomal RNA (251 nucleotides) under uncultured bacterium. RNAcentral describes it as "partial 16S ribosomal RNA". It matches the Rfam family "Bacterial small subunit ribosomal RNA", at positions 524 to 776 of the family's 1533-position model. The record is from RNAcentral.
UACGUAGGGUGCAAGCGUUAAUCGGAAUACUGGGCGUAAAGCGUGCGCAGGCGGUUUUGUAAGUCAGAUGUGAAAUCCCCGGGCUUAACCUGGGAACUGCGUUUGAAACUACAAGGCUAGAGUGUGACAGAGGGGGUGGAAUUCCACGUGUAGCAGUGAAAUGCGUAGAUAUGCGGAGGAACACCGAUGGCGAAGGCAAUCCCCUGGGCCUGUACUGACGCUCAUGCACGAAAGCGUGGGGAGCAAACAGG